CAAUAGCGUAUAUUAAAGCUGUUGCGGUUAAAAAGCUCGUAGUUGGAUUUCUGUCAAGGACAACUGGUCCGCCCCUCGGGUGAGCACAUAGUUUGGUCUUGGCAUCUUGUUGGAAACUGUUGCUGCACUUGGUUGUGUGGCGCAGUGUCCAGCACUUUCACUUUGAGGAGAUUGGAGUGUUUCAAGCAGGCACAUGCCUUUGGACACAGUAGCAUGGAAUAAUUAGAUUGGGCUUUUGCUCCAACUUGUCGGUUUCUGGAGCUGAGGUGAGAAUUAAUGGGGAUUGUUGGGGGCAUCCGAAUUUAGCCGUCAGAGGUGAAAUUCUUGGAUCUGCUAAAGACGGACAACUGCGAAAGCGUUUGCCCAGGAUGUUUUCAUUGA
Molecule: ribosomal RNA, 381 nt
Filed under: uncultured eukaryote
Lineage: Eukaryota
Description: partial 18S ribosomal RNA
Rfam family: Eukaryotic small subunit ribosomal RNA
Source: RNAcentral